UGGGGAAUUUUGGACAAUGGGGCAACCCUGAUCCAGCAAUGCCGCGUGUGUGAAGAAGGCCUUCGGGUUGUAAAGCACUUUUGUCCGGAAAGAAAACGCCGUGGUUAAUACCCGUGGCGGAUGACGGUACCGGAAGAAUAAGCACCGGCUAACUACGUGCCAGCAGCCGCGGUAAUACGUAGGGUGCAAGCGUUAAUCGGAAUUACUGGGCGUAAAGCGUGCGCAGGCGGUCCGCUAAGACAGAUGUGAAAUCCCCGGGCUUAACCUGGGAACUGCAUUUGUGACUGGCGGGCUAGAGUAUGGCAGAGGGGGGUAGAAUUCCACGUGUAGCAGUGAAAUGCGUAGAGAUGUGGAGGAAUACCGAUGGCGAAGGCAG
Molecule: ribosomal RNA, 376 nt
Filed under: uncultured bacterium
Lineage: Bacteria
Description: partial 16S ribosomal RNA
Rfam family: Bacterial small subunit ribosomal RNA
Source: RNAcentral